RNAcentral lists this ribosomal RNA (227 nucleotides) under uncultured bacterium. RNAcentral's name for it is "partial 16S ribosomal RNA". It matches the Rfam family "Bacterial small subunit ribosomal RNA", at positions 383 to 607 of the family's 1533-position model. The record is from RNAcentral.
CUGAACCAGCCAAGUAGCGUGAAGGAUGACUGCCCUAUGGGUUGUAAACUUCUUUUAUAAAGGAAUAAAGUCGGGUAUGCAUACCCGUUCGCAUGUACUUUAUGAAUAAGGAUCGGCUAACUCCGUGCCAGCAGCCGCGGUAAUACGGAGGAUCCGAGCGUUAUCCGGAUUUAUUGGGUUUAAAGGGAGCGUAGGUGGACUGGUAAGUCAGUUGUGAAAGUUUGCGG